Molecule: long non-coding RNA, 1471 nt
Organism: Phycodurus eques (leafy seadragon)
Lineage: Eukaryota; Metazoa; Chordata; Actinopteri; Syngnathiformes; Syngnathidae
Exons: 3
Source: RefSeq, a predicted model, not a curated record
CCGAGGGACGGCGCAGUGCUGCCUUCCAGGGUCGUAGGAAACAUAAAAAAUCAAUAAGUCAACAUGGGACUGCACUUCAUCCUAGAACACGUCGACAGUGCGGGGACCAACGCGAGGAUCCUGUUCGUGGACUUCAGCUCAGCGUUCAACACAAUCAUCCCCGAACUCCUUUCCUCCAAGCUUCUCCAGCUCAGUGUCUCACCUGCCAUCUGCCAGUGGAUUUACAGCUUCCUGACAGGCAGGACACAGCAGGCGAGGCUGUGGGAGGCCACCUCAUCCACACGCAGCAUCAGCACCGGGGCGCCCCAAGGUUGUGUCCUCUCCCCGCUGCUCCUCUCUCUACACGAACGACUGCACCUCGACGCACCCGGCUGUCAAACUCCUGAAGUUUGCAGACGACACCACUGUCAUCGGCCUCAUCAAAGACAGUGACGAGUCUGCAUAUCGACAGGAAGUGGACCGGCUCGAGCUGCGGUGCGGCCGACACAACCUGGAGCUGAACACGCUCGAGACUGUAGAGAUGAUCGUGGACUUCAGGAGGCGUCCUUCGCCCCAGCUGCCCCUCACGCUGUCAAGCUGCCUUGUGUCAACCGUCGAGACCUUCGGUUCCUCGGAACUAACCAGUCGUCCACCGUGCCGCCUGUUUUUUGGACAUACUUGUUGUGCGUCAGCGAAGAAGAAGAAGCGCAGAAACGGCGGCGCUCAGCAGGAGGUGUGCAGGUGCGAGUCUGCAGCUGGAACUCAAAGCUAGGACAGCAAAAUAAACACAAAAAAAAAGAAGAAAUGAUGUUGCAGGUUUUUUUUUUUUUUUUUUUCACCAUUUGUGCACUUUUAUUUGUACAGUUGUACCUUGCUAAUUUGAAGUUUAAAAUAUAUAUAAUUUAAUGGCAAUUCUAAUGAGAUUCAGUGAUUUGCAGAUUUUCACUAUUCCCCCGUGAAUAGCAGCGGUCUUUGUGGGACAAAAAAAGUUGAUCUUAUCUUAAAAUAAAAAUACUCGCAGGCAUAUAUUAUUUAUCUUUUGCAAAAAAAUGACUAAUAGCUUGCUGACUCACUUAGUUGUGAAACUCUUCUUCAUGUGUUUUCUAUGUAUUAUGCUGCCCCCUGGGGGGCAAAGCAUGCACACCAGAAGGAGCAAAAUGACAAUAGACAUUGAAGACUGAAAUCAUGAUGUGCAAAAAAUAAAAUCUUUAUAUUCAAUGUCAUUAUGUUAUUACUGUAUGUUUUUUAAUAAACAUGGAGCGGGCUAUUUUUCUAAUUCAAACGCGACAAGAAAAUGUAUGAAAUGAAAAUGAUAAAUGGAAUGCGCUAACGCACAGGUGUCAAACUGGUGGCACGGGGGCAAGAUCUGGCCCACAACACCAUUUUAUGUGGCCCGCGAAAGCAAAUCAUAUGUGUCGACUUCAUGUUUCUUGUAAAAAUACCAAAAUUGUUGUCUUUACUUGUAUAAUGUUGAGAUAUUGCAAGCAUUUUA